Molecule: transfer RNA, 73 nt
Filed under: Listeria fleischmannii
Lineage: Bacteria; Bacillati; Bacillota; Bacilli; Caryophanales; Listeriaceae
Also listed under: 7 other names
Description: tRNA-Lys
Rfam family: tRNA
About the family: Transfer RNA (tRNA) molecules are approximately 80 nucleotides in length. Their secondary structure includes four short double-helical elements and three loops (D, anti-codon, and T loops).
Source: RNAcentral
GGGUUAUUAGCUCAGUUGGUAGAGCAGCUGACUCUUAAUCAGCGGGUCGGGGGUUCGAACCCCUCAUAACCCA